Triticum aestivum (bread wheat) is the source of this 2628-nucleotide long non-coding RNA. RefSeq lists it as uncharacterized. The transcript is spliced from 5 exons. Lineage: Eukaryota; Viridiplantae; Streptophyta; Magnoliopsida; Poales; Poaceae. The record is from RefSeq and is a predicted model, not a curated record.
AGGUUGGCCCCACUGGCAACCUAGUAGCCGGUUGACUCUGGUUUGGGCGUUUCCUCCCCCCGGCCUCCUCUCCACGGCCGCCGCCGCCACCCUCCGCCUCUUCCCGGCCGCCUCCGCCGCUGACCUCCGCCUCUCCCUGGCCGCCUCAGCCCUCUACCUCAUCUCUCGCUCACCUCCUCAAGGCCGCCUCUGCGUCAUUCCCUCGCGCACCGCCUCAUGGCAGCCUCCCACCUCUGCCUCAUCCCCUCGUCCACCACCUGACUAGGUUGCGCUCGCAGCGAGUCCGACGGACGUGACGGCCCACCUCUCGUCUCUCUACCGCAGUGUCCACAUCUGGUCCGUUCCUCGUCCCAGCAAGCCUCGCAACAUCAAUCGUCGCCCGCAGGAGAGCACCACAGGGUACUGAAAUGAAUACAAGUCAGCGUUGCAGUGAUUUAUUAUGGAUGCCGCACAGCCAACAUAAAAUAUCCAAAUCUUGGGAAAAUCGUAACAUUUGCUUGAAUGUUCGGUGUCACCGUGUUGGCAUUCCAGUGGAUCCUCUAUGUAGAGCAGCCUUAGAGAACCUUGGUUUUUAUCAAAUUGCAAAAAUGAAGAAAAUCAAUGUCGACAAAUAUUUGAUAUCAGCAUUGGUCGAGCGUUGGCGGCCUGAGACAAAUACUUUUCAUUUACCUAUAGGAGAAAUGACCGUUACACUACAAGACGUGAGUUGUUUGUGGGAGUUGCCUAUCCAUGGUAAACCACUUAUUGGCAAAGAUGAUGCUGCAUGGUCUGGAUUAAUUGAGAGGUUACUUGGGAUUCCUAUAGAUGAACAACACAUGAAGCAAAAGAGAAGGCGGAAAGAUGAUGACAAUAUUGCUGUGAAGAAUUCAUAGUACUCUUUAAAUUUAGGUAAACUACGAGAACGCUUCCAGGUGAUGCCGGAUAAUCCAAUGGAUCGAGAGAUUCAUUGGCAUGCUCGAGCGAUUGUUCUAGAAAUCCUUGGCUCCACGGUGUUCACUGAUACAUCUCGAGAUGGAGUGCCAGCUAUGUAUCUUCAGUUUAUGCAGAAUGCAUGGCAACCAACAGAGUAUAAUUGGGGAGCAGCUGUUCUUGCUAUGUUAUAUAGACAGUUGAGCAUUGGGGCUGAGAAGGAGAGAUUAGAAAUUUCGGGGCCUUUGUUGCUGCUACAGUUAUGGUCCUGGUCCCAUUUGCCACUUGGUCGCCCUAAAAAUAUUAUUGAGAAGCCAAAAGAAAGGGAGGAGCCCGGAGAUGAGGAAAGUGGAGAAGUAGACUUGGAUUAUAACCCUGUAUUUGGAGCAAAGUGGUGUGCUGGACAUGAAUUUGAUGUUCCACAUAAUGCGGGUACCGAAUAUUAUCGAAAUCAGAUUGAUUUGAUUCAAGAAGGUGCAAUUGAAUGGCAACCAUAUGAAGGCCUUCUGGAUGAGAUGCCUGUCGAAGUACAUGAUGGUACUAAUUGGUGGUUUGCUAGAGUACCACUCAUACAUUUUUGGAUUGUAGAGUUUCACUAUCCAAAUAGGGUGAUGCGGCAAUUCGGAUUAAGACAAGCCAUUCCACCUUCCCCUCCACGCGGCGAGGUAGAGGUUCGCAAAUUGUGAAAAAAUAAACAUUUUGCAAGGAAACCGCAUAAUUGGGAAGAAGUCCAUGCCAACUAUGUUCAAGAAUAUGUUCAAGAGUAUGAUCGUGUCCGAGUAGGAGUAGCGCCAGAGGAUAUUCCCUUUGAUGUAGCUAGUUUACCGGAUUACAGACAUUGGUUCCAGCAAAAUGGUAUGUACACAAUAUUCUUUGACUCACAAUGCUUAGGAGGCCUAGAUAAACCUAUCCCAUAUCCUCGAGAUAGCAUCGAAUGGACCGGGUACAUGCCCAGCGGUCCAGCAUUGGCUCACAUUAGCCUACAUGAGAUAAAGAAUGUUGCAUGGGGGAUCAACUGUGCUACUACCAGUGGAUGCAAGAAGAUAGGCAAAUCUAUACUGAGGUCUUGUGUAGGAAAUUUGAUGGAUCUCAACUUGGAGCCUAGGCUGCGAAGCAUGCUCGUUGAGGCUAGAUUGCCGCUGAAGAUCGAAGAUAUCCCAUCUGAUGAUGAUGUUUCAGAUAUUGCUCAACCACCGAGCCCCCCGAAAGAAAGCAACUCCGAUGUAUUUAAUGAUUGGAUAUACUCUGGGAGAGGUUUUACAACAUAUCUCAAUGUUGGUGAAGCCAUGGUAGAUGGAGGACGGACAACACAAGAUGCAACUCAAGCUCCCAGAUUUCAGUCAAGGAGUUCUUCACAAGUACUAAAUUAGAAUGAGAGCAUAUAGUGAUAUGAUAUGCUCAUCUCUAGAAGUGUAACAGGGUAGAUGUUUGUUUCCUUUUGCACAACAAAAAAAGUUCGUGAGUAUGCUUUGUAAUAGGCCACACAUGGGUUGUAAUCCUUUCAAGCCAUGUCACUCCGCAUUGGCUAAGCUCAUGUUGCAGCCUGCCUUGUCUAAAACUGAACGUGCGUGAGAUGAAUCUGAGUUCAAAAUUAUGGCUGAAAGCAAAGAAUGGACGAUUCUCUAAAUGUGUGGCUCAAAUUUUGAUGAAAAUUUCACAGAUUAGUAGUCAUCAUAUAUAAGUCCUUGUGUCAAAAUUUCAUAAAAUUCUAGGCACAUU